This is a long non-coding RNA of Hyaena hyaena (striped hyena), 729 nucleotides long. RefSeq lists it as uncharacterized. The record is from RefSeq and is a predicted model, not a curated record. NCBI's taxonomy places the organism in Eukaryota, Metazoa, Chordata, Mammalia, Carnivora, Hyaenidae. The transcript has 3 exons.
UUGCAACCACGUGCCUACGUACAGUGGCAGCCACCGCCUAAAGAACACUCCUAAGUUGUCAGUGUUCUACACUCUUAUUUUCACCUGGAGCUUCCACCCACCGCUUCCUGUUCUUGUAAGCUCUCUUGUUUUUGAUUUCGCCAGAAGGACUUGCUGUCUUUAGAAAUCUCUCACUGAAGUAGAGCCCCCGUUGGGAUGAAUGGGAAUCAGAGUGCUAGGAGCUCUUCAGAAUGGACUCACCCAGACGUCCACAUUGUCCCGGGUCCCUCCUGGCCUGUUGACCAGUUCCUGACUAUAGAAGAUGGAAGAAUCUGGCAAGUGGUUCCCAGAGCAAGAGUACUUUCAGAUCCGUGUAGCUGAAUAGGAGGCAGAGACUCCUUCCCCUUCCCAUGGGAGAAUGAGACCGGGAAAGGCAUCAGGAGAAAGGGCUGGGUAUGACCCAUCUCUUGUCGCUCUGUCUCUACGGAGCUAAUUCAGAGGCGCAUGGUGGAGCAUCCGAAGCCAAAAUAGCCCGGAGUCGCUGCUGGACUUUGUGGCUUUCUCCACUGAUGUCACCGCAAAGCUGGAGGGACCGAGCAGGCAGUGGCUGACUCUUCAAGAUUGAUUGUUAGCAGGAGUUCCCAGCUUUGAGAUCGAGGUGAUCGUAAACAGGCAAAACCUUAGCAGAGAUGAGACCCAAUAGUCGCCAAAUUGCCAGUGAAGGGGAAAUUAGCAAAUGGAUCAAAUGAG